Long non-coding RNA from Triplophysa rosa, 671 nucleotides. RefSeq lists it as uncharacterized. The record is from RefSeq and is a predicted model, not a curated record. The transcript has 3 exons. NCBI's taxonomy places the organism in Eukaryota, Metazoa, Chordata, Actinopteri, Cypriniformes, Nemacheilidae.
AAUAAGAAGAAGUUUGUGUUUACUUCCCUCACAACAAACAUGAGCAUAGAAUACGAUAGGUGCACCGACGCCGAAAUUCAGGCGCUUAUUAACAUUUAUGCCACGUGGGAAAUCCAAAGAAAUCAGGAUUUUUACGGGACAAAGCGAAACACGAAAAUAUUUAGCAGGGCUUGGAAUUAAUCACUCGGCAAAACAGUGCCGCGUAAAAAAACAGGACUACAAACAAAUUAAAACCACAACAGUCAGAGUGGUUCAGUCCGCAAAAGAAGCAAGCAAGUGGUACGGUCUUUUAGAUGGGAUUCUUAGCCACAGACCAGCUUAUUUUAUGUUAGUGAUGCGGGGACGAAAGACUCUGUGUCGGGGCAUCUGGAGACAGCCAACCCGGGGGAGCUCCGAUAUACCGACCAAAGCUAGUCCUUCGUUACAGAUGUACCUGUAAAAUCCUCAAACUCUCCUCUGAGAGAGCUGGACCGGAGUGACAAUGAUCUGCAGGAUUCAGGAGUGAAGCUCAUCUCUGAUGGACUGAAGAGCUCAAGCUGUCAACUAGAGAUACUGAGAUUAUCUGGCUGUAUGGUGACAGAGGAAGGCUGUGGUUAUCUGGCUUCAGCUCUGAAUACAAACCCGUCCCAUCUGAGAGAGUUGGACCUGAGCUACAAUCACCCGGGACCCUC